CCUAGGAAGGAAAGGAGUUGUUGUUUUGUAGAAGGUGCUGGGGUUUGAGAGAUCAGUCGGACACGAUUGGCAGGGAGAGCAAGUGUGUUUUUAUGGGAAUUAUGCUGAGAUAGGUAACAGAUGAGGAUGAAAUUUGGGCUUGAUUGAAGUAAUGGGGGCUGUCUGUGAAGCUUUGCGGCAGUACAGCCUAGGUAAUUUGCUGAGCUUGAUGGGUGUCAGGGUCAGUCCAAAUGAAAGUGAAGAGAGACUGGGAUUAAGGGUGCAAAGGAAUAGUAAAGAAAGCAUGUCUGAGAUCUAGAACAGAAUAAUGGGUUGUAGAGGCAGGUAUUGAGGAUAGGAGAGUAUAUGGGUUUGGCACCACGGGGUGGAUAGGCAAAACAAUUUGGUUGAUAAGGCGCAGAUCCUGAACUAACUUGUAAGGCUUGUCUGGUUUUAGGACAGGUAAAAUGGGAGAAUUGUAAGGAGAGUUUAUAGGCUUUAAAAGGCCAUGCUGUAGCAGGCGAGUGAUAACAGGCUUUAAUCUUUUUAAAGCGUGCUGUGGGAUGGGAUAUUGGCGUUGAGUGGGGUAAGGGUGAUUAGAUUUUAAUGAGAUGGUAAGGGAUGCAUGAUCGGUCGCCAAGGAGGGAGUAGAGGUAUCUUAUAUUUGUGGGUUAAGGUUGGGGGAUACAAGAGGAGGACGCAAAGGAGGCUUUGGAUUGGGAAGAAGGGUGGCAAUGAGAUAUAGCUGUAGCCCAGGAAUAGUCAGGGAAGCAGAUAAUUUAGUUAAAGUGUCUCGGCCUAAUAAGGGAACUGGGCAGGUGGGGAUAACUAAAAAGGAGUGCUUAAAAGAGUAUUGUCUAAGUUGGCACCAGAGUUGGGGAGUUUUAAGAGGUUUAGAAGCCUAGCCGUCAAUACCCACAACAGUUAUGGAGGCAAGGGAAACAGGCCCUUGAAAAGAAGGUAAUGUGUAGUGGGUAGCCUCCGUAUUGAUUAAGAAGGGGACGGGCUUACCUUCCACUGUGAGAGUUACCCGAAGCUCGGCAUCCGUGAUGGCCUAGGGGGCUUCCGAGGCGAUUGGGCAGUGUCAGUCUUCAGCCGCUAAGCCGAGAAGACCUGGGAAGGAGUCAGUCAGAGAGGCUUGGGCCAGAGUUCCAGGGGCUCUGGGAGUGGCUGCCAGUUACUUCAGGCCAUCUGGGUGUAUACGUGCAAGUCACAAGGGAUGCGAUGGCUUGGCUUGGGCUCAGAGGCCUGACACUGGAUCUAAAAAUGAAGCUAAAGGAACAUAUUCUGAAGUCUGGAAAUGUGGAACCUGCUGAUUUUCUAGAGGAAAACUCAAAACCUGUAGAUAUCUGUUGACUGUUUAAGAGCUUUCACAUCAAAAUAAGAGUCGAUGUGGCAUUCUAGGAAAUAAUUUUAACAGAGUGUUUUGUUUGGCUUUCUAUUAUUUGGCAAAAAAAUCAUUUUAUGUGAAAAUUAUAGGCCAAGAUGGAUUCUCUGAUGCUUUUGUGCUGUACCAGUCUACAACUAGUUGGUAUCAUGAUGCUCUAGGUGUUGUUUCACAGUCCUUUAGCAAAUGUUCUAACAUCUACACUCCUCCUUCCCUGCCCACAUUCAUUUGGGCCACUUCAGCUGAUCACCUAGCAGCUGUUUCAGCAUCCUGCUGUCAUUCAUCCUCUACAUGUAUCCAGCCCAGUGGAACUACAUUAAAGUGAGCAGGACUUCACUGCAGGAAGAUUGGCUGCCUGCCAGGACUUCAUUAUUAGUGAUCUUUCUUACUGCUCAUGUUUCAUAGCCUCUUGGGUAACACUGAAUCAGGUUUUUAAGAACUAGAUGGAGAGUUGUGGCAAGCCCACAUUUCACUGCCUCCACUCUGUAGAUGCCAAGCUUGACUGGUGACAAGUAUGUCCCCUGAACAAAGCAAAUGUAUGUGCAGAUAACGUGGUAUUUCAAUUUCUGUGCACUAAGAUGAUUUGGCAAGAGUGAUGGUGACUGCACCUGUUUAGCAGAAGAAAAAUGUCUCAUCACAACCCCAAAUAACAUUAUGUUAUGCUAUUAUGACAUCAAGGAUCUAAAAAUGAAGCUAAAGGAACAUCGAGGAUGUUAUAAUAGCAUAUUGGUAUAGAAUAUUGGUACCUACUUUCUCCAUAUCAACCAAACAUCUAUUUUCUAAUCCCUCUUUUUAACAACCAAGAUAUGUGCAUUUUAGUAUGACAAUGCCUUUAUUUUAUUUAAUAAUUUCAACUCACCAGCAAAAUUAGAAAAAAAACUCUGAAGAAUAUGAAAUUAAACAGAAAUAUAUGUGGAAUUCAUGUCUUAUUUUUCAAACAAAUGAAAAUGAGUAUCAAAAAAGCAGAAAAAAGAAGCUUUGAAGUGCUUUCCUUCCUUGAUUUUGGCCCAGCAGGAAAUAAAGAUUCAUAAAUGGAGAUUAUGAUCUCGUUUUAUAAUCCAGCUUGCCAAAUCAUCUCCUAGAAGAUUGCAUCAGCCAAUAGAUUUUGAAUAAUGUUAAAUAUGAAAAAUACUUUAGCAUUAUUAACUCUAAUGUUUUCAUAUUUCAAAUGAGAAAACAAGUCAAGCAGCGUAUUAAAUGUCACACAGUUAACAGCAG
This 2584-nucleotide long non-coding RNA is filed under the name Homo sapiens (human). RNAcentral describes it as "long intergenic non-protein coding RNA 458". The record is from RNAcentral. Lineage: Eukaryota; Metazoa; Chordata; Mammalia; Primates; Hominidae.